GAUCAUGGCUUAGGACGAACGCUGGCGGCACGCUUAACACAUGCAAGUCGAACGAGAGAAGAGAAGCUUGCUUUUCUGAUCUAGUGGCGGACGGGUGAGUAACACGUGAGCAAUCUGCCUUUCAGAGGGGGAUACCGAUUGGAAACAAUCGUUAAUACCGCAUAACAUAAUUGAACCGCAUGAUUUGAUUAUCAAAGAUUUAUCGCUGAAAGAUGAGCUCGCGU
Molecule: ribosomal RNA, 224 nt
Filed under: uncultured bacterium
Lineage: Bacteria
Description: partial 16S ribosomal RNA
Rfam family: Bacterial small subunit ribosomal RNA
Source: RNAcentral